Molecule: unclassified non-coding RNA, 260 nt
Filed under: uncultured Hypocreales
Lineage: Eukaryota; Fungi; Ascomycota; Sordariomycetes; Hypocreales
Description: sequence contains 5.8S rRNA gene, ITS2, 28S rRNA gene
Rfam family: 5.8S ribosomal RNA (bases 1-52)
Source: RNAcentral
AACGCACAUUGCGCCCGCCAGUAUUCUGGCGGGCAUGCCUGUUCGAGCGUCAUUUCAACCCUCAAACCCCCGGGUUUGGUGUUGGAGAUCGGCAUGAGUCCUUCGGGGCGACGCCGUCUCCCAAAUAUAGUGGCGGUCUCGCUGUAGCUUCCUAUGCGUAGUAGCACACCUCGCACUGGAAAGCAGCGCGGCCACGCCGUUAAACCCCCAACUUUUCUGAGUUUGACCUCGAAUCAGGUAGGAUUACCCGCUGAACUUAA